GACGAACGCUGGCGGCGUGCUUAACACAUGCAAGUCGAACGGUAAGGCCCUUCGGGGUACACGAGUGGCGAACGGGUGAGUAACACGUGGGUGAUCUGCCCUGCACUUCGGGAUAAGCCUGGGAAACUGGGUCUAAUUCCGGAUAGGACCACUGCCUGCAUGGGUGGUGGUGGAAAGCUUUUGCGGUGUGGGAUGGGCCCGCGGCCUAUCAGCUUGUUGGUGGGGUGAUGGCCUACCAAGGCGACGACGGGUAGCCGGCCUGAGAGGGUGACCGGCCACACUGGGACUGAGAUACGGCCCAGACUCCUACGGGAGGCAGCAGUGGGGAAUAUUGCGCAAUGGGCGCAAGCCUGAUGCAGCGACGCCGCGUGAGGGAUGACGGCCUUCGGGUUGUAAACCUCUUUCAGCACAGACGAAGCGCAAGUGACGGUAGGUGCAGAAGAAGGACCGGCCAACUACGUGCCAGCAGCCGCAGUAA
This 478-nucleotide ribosomal RNA is filed under the name uncultured bacterium. Its description in RNAcentral is "partial 16S ribosomal RNA". It matches the Rfam family "Bacterial small subunit ribosomal RNA", at positions 28 to 523 of the family's 1533-position model. The record is from RNAcentral.